CACUCAGUUCAUCAUAGAAACCAAAGGUGGACACGCAAUGUUUUAUAAUUCAGGCCUGGAACAACAGAGAUGUGGAGAACAUGCUGAUGGAUCACCACAACCAGAGCAACUCAGGACAACACCACGACAAGAACCUGGGCAGAUAAACUGUUGAUGUCUCGUCUGUGACGUUAAAUCGAGCUUAAAUCUGAGA
Long non-coding RNA from Mugil cephalus (flathead mullet), 193 nucleotides. RefSeq lists it as uncharacterized. Lineage: Eukaryota; Metazoa; Chordata; Actinopteri; Mugiliformes; Mugilidae. The transcript is spliced from 2 exons. The record is from RefSeq and is a predicted model, not a curated record.